This 253-nucleotide ribosomal RNA is filed under the name uncultured bacterium. RNAcentral's name for it is "partial 16S ribosomal RNA". It matches the Rfam family "Bacterial small subunit ribosomal RNA", at positions 524 to 776 of the family's 1533-position model. The record is from RNAcentral.
UACGGAGGGGGCUAGCGUUGUUCGGAAUUACUGGGCGUAAAGCGCGCGUAGGCGGCUUUGUAAGUUAGAGGUGAAAGCCCGGAGCUCAACUCCGGAACUGCCUUUAAGACUGCAUCGCUAGAACGUCGGAGAGGUGAGUGGAAUUCCGAGUGUAGAGGUGAAAUUCGUAGAUAUUCGCAAGAACACCAGUGGCGAAGGCGGCUCACUGGCCCGAUACUGACGCUGAGGCACGAAAGCGUGGGGAGCAAACAGG